UUUAGAGAUUUGCCUCUUUCGUCGGACACACACUGCUGCUGAAUUAUAUUGCUCAUUUCAGAAUUCAGCCUUCAACGCAGCGGAUUGGGACGCUUUGAAAAUAUCUCGACAACGAUAAUGCUUGCAUGGGACCGUCUUAUCCUCUCCUUGGAAAGAAAGCGUUGACAAUCUUUGGCCUCAUCUGACUUUUUUCCUCCCUUCCUGUACUUCCCGUCGCUCUUUGUGCGAUCUGAGACGGAUGAAACCGAACAGAACCGUUUCGGUUGCCACGCUGUGAGAGCUGAAAUGAAAAUCUCUGAUGGAUCCGUGUCACUCUAUAUAAUCAUAUCUUUGACGAACAGCUGCGGUCUACAAAUAGCAUGCAUCCACACAGCUCCUCCCUCAUGGCUGCCGGGGAAUCGGCGGCCCAUUAUAGGGCUGAAAUGGGCCUGAAGAAUUUUUUCGCCUCAUCUCCUCAGCCUCACCUCCAGUCAAGUGAAAGAGCUGACAAGCAGUAAGGGUGAACGAAGAAGAGAGCGGGGUAGGCAGCAGGCAAUUUGCACGAAUUUAAUGAGCAGUAUGUUGAUUAAUGGUGAUUAGGUAAAUUGUUGUUUCUAUCUAGGCUCCGUUUUCACACCGAAUCUGUAGUUAACAAGGAGGAGAAAUUUUCCUAACAAGGGAGGAUGCCAUUUGUUCUCAUUCCCCUCCAAAAUAUGCCUUCUGGGAUACAAUUCCACAAUGAGGCGACUCAGACAGACCCAUGAUCGGUGAAAAAUAAUUACGAGCCUGCAGCAGGCCAGUAGGAUUAGUUGCAUGGUUAGUAAAUGUACAUGAGGCCUCGUCUGUUGUUCAAGUCCAUCCCAACUACCUCUCUCAUGUUUAUCUGUUCAUUGUUUACUGAUGUCCUCUGCUAUUCUAAUGUUUGAUGAUGUUUGUGAUUAAAUGACCUUCACACGCUGACACAUCCACGCACACGAACACACACAAAGUAAUCAGCGACACUUUUAGCUACGACGUUCUACUACUCAAACUUAUAAAGGCUGUUUUGUUAGAAUGCGGUAGCUUAAUCUUUUGAUUAUUUUCUGCAAUUGACCUUUGUUACGUGUUGUGAGGAAUUCUCACAGAUUAAGAUAACAAUGUUUCUCUUAAAACUCAAAUGGGACUGAACUUUGCUGCAGUAUAUCCCGUCAACAUGACAACGUGAAAAAAUAUGAUGUACAACUGAGGAUAUUUCUCUUUUAAACAUCUUCUAGGCUCUUUCCUCACAAUAUGGGAGGUCAUUUAUUGUUAGUAUUUAAUGACAAAAACUGGCAUAAAUGAUUAGUUAUCAUCUGAUUGAUGGAUGUUUUUUGUUCAUUUCAUCUUUAAUCUUGAAUGUUUCUGUGUACAUUAAACAUAACAGGCUUAUCACAGCAUUGCCUUUCUUUAGCUCUCCAUGCUUUCAUCUGUUUUCCCCUGUUUAACGUCACGUUGCAAUGACUUGUGGGUAAACCCUUGGGCAAAGUCAAAAUCUAAAGCUGACUCACAGAUUGGGUUCAUAAAGGACUCAAAAUGUCUGCCAGAGAGCCGUCAAACACUCAAACAAUAGACAGUGGGACAGCACUCAGCCAUCACAGAGUCAGCGGGAGGAACGCGAUUUCUAGAGAUUCGCUUGCAAUUGAGGUGUAAAACCUUUGUUACAUAAAUUGCUUCAUUACCGCAAAAAAAGAGCAAUAUUCUCAUUA
Gasterosteus aculeatus aculeatus (three-spined stickleback) is the source of this 1703-nucleotide long non-coding RNA. The record is from Ensembl. Lineage: Eukaryota; Metazoa; Chordata; Actinopteri; Perciformes; Gasterosteidae.